This 101-nucleotide unclassified non-coding RNA is filed under the name Copidosoma floridanum. RNAcentral describes it as "s-phase kinase-associated protein 1, transcript variant X1". Lineage: Eukaryota; Metazoa; Arthropoda; Insecta; Hymenoptera; Encyrtidae. The record is from RNAcentral.
CAUCAACUGAAGAUCCGGGGAUCAUGUCAGAACUGCCAAAAAAAGUUGUUGCAUCAGACAAGUUGAUGUCAAGGUAGCACGAUGCUCCACGACCUUCAAAA